RNAcentral lists this ribosomal RNA (305 nucleotides) under uncultured bacterium. Its description in RNAcentral is "bacterial SSU rRNA". It matches the Rfam family "Bacterial small subunit ribosomal RNA", at positions 337 to 640 of the family's 1533-position model. The record is from RNAcentral.
ACCUACGGGGGGCAGCAGUGAGGAAUAUUGGUCAAUGGUCGGGAGACUGAACCAGUCAAGCCGCGUGAGGGAUGAAGGUACAGAGUAUCGUAAACCUCUUUUGUCAGGGAACAAAGGCGGGGACGCGUCCCCGGAUGAGUGUACCUGAAGAAAAAGCAUCGGCUAACUCCGUGCCAGCAGCCGCGGUAAUACGGAGGAUGCGAGCGUUAUCCGGAUUUAUUGGGUUUAAAGGGUGCGCAGGCGGGCUGUUAAGUCAGCGGUCAAAGCCCGGGGCCCAACCCCGGCCCGCCGUUGAAACUGGCAGG